UUAAAAAAGAUUGUGUCUAUUAGCACAAGGUUUUUCAUUCGUUGUUAAUUAUACAAAAGUGUCUUUGAAUCCAAAAUGAUUUCCUACCCAGUCUUCACUUUCAAAGGAAACAGCAUUUCUUUGGACAGCUAUCGCUCCUGAGGACACUGGCUUAUAGCUGGUCACUAUGGAAGUCUUAUGGGUCCCUUGCUCUUUCUGCUAAAUGACUACAUUGAAAUGGUUAUUUGGAGGACAGUCCAGCCAGAUGGGUUGUAAAGUUUCUUUUAUCUGUACAUGUAUGGUAUUUUAGUUUCCAUAAAGAAAGACAGAAGUUAUCUUUUAAGUUAAACCAAAUUUCACUUUUUGAGAUAUCUUCCAACUUAUUUAUUGGUUGUUACUCAAAUGCCUGUGCGUGCGUGCAUGUGUGUGUGUGUGUGUGUGUGUGUGUGUGUGUGUGUGUGUGUGUGUGUGUCUGUAUUAUCAGGCAUAUGCUUCUAAGCUUUUAAAUGGAGGAGGAGCAAAAUCUAUGCCAGAUACUGUAUAUUCUACCAUGGUGCUAAUAUCAGAGCUAAAUGAUACUCCAUUUAAUUUAAAGAAGAGUUUUAAAUAAUUAUCUAUGUACCUGUUUCCCUUCUGAGUCCUGGUCAUUAUGUCCUCAGUGGUGUGAAAGCAGGUGAAUCAAGUAUAUGUUCUACUUUCUAGGGACAGUACUAUGAUCCCUAUUUAAUUCAAACUUAACUAGAGCUUCUCCAUGUGAAAUGGACCAAACUGGCAUUGUUCUAUUUAAACAGAGAGUUUUAAAGCAGUAUGACAUCCCACAGGGGGAAAAAUGUCUGUAGAGGACAAUUGUCCUCAGAUAUUUUACAGAAACAAAGAAUGAUGAGAAGACUGGUAACUUGCUUGAGUUUCCAUGAAUAGAUUUGAGACGUAAUGGCAAAUCGAUUUUGUAUUUAAAUUUUUGUACUGAUUUGAAAAACAGAUCAUUAAAUAUCUCUAAAAGUA
Molecule: long non-coding RNA, 981 nt
Filed under: Rattus norvegicus (Norway rat)
Lineage: Eukaryota; Metazoa; Chordata; Mammalia; Rodentia; Muridae
Description: long non-coding RNA NONRATT006517
Source: RNAcentral